UGUACAACUUCAGCGAUAUGC
This 21-nucleotide non-coding RNA is filed under the name Arabidopsis thaliana (thale cress). Lineage: Eukaryota; Viridiplantae; Streptophyta; Magnoliopsida; Brassicales; Brassicaceae. The record is from RNAcentral.